UUGAAAGCUUCCUCAUGAAGCUAAUCCUUCGAAUGACAUUCUUCAAAAGCAUCACUUAUUUCCUGUCAGCAAUUGCCCAUUUAGAUGCCAAGUUGAGGAAACAAUUCCCGCCUUUUCUUCAGAAUUUAAAGAGCAUCAGCAUGGGACUCAUUGUCAAAUAUUGGUUAAAUUAGUGAUUAUUUGGAGUCAUAGAAAUGCAAUGAUUCAUCAAGGAAUCAACCCAGAUCUAGGAUUUCUUCAAGCGAUAGCAACCUUUUCUUUUCAUCUGGCUGGUGCUUCCUAUGUUAACUUCAAAGAGGAAAUCGCAAGGAUUCAAGACUUUGGAGUUGCUGAAUUUAUAGAAAAGGACAUCAAUUUGUUCUGCUCACCU
Molecule: long non-coding RNA, 370 nt
Organism: Prosopis cineraria
Lineage: Eukaryota; Viridiplantae; Streptophyta; Magnoliopsida; Fabales; Fabaceae
Exons: 3
Source: RefSeq, a predicted model, not a curated record